GUAGUUUGAUCCUGGCUCAGGAUGAACGCUAGCUACAGGCUUAACACAUGCAAGUCGAGGGGCAGCAUUUUAGUUGCUUGCAAACUGAAGAUGGCGACCGGCGCACGGGUGAGUAACACGUAUCCAACCUACCGAUAACUCCGGAAUGCCUUUCGAAAGAAAGAUUAAUACCGGAUAGCAUACGAAUAUCGCAUGAUAUUUUAUAAAG
RNAcentral lists this ribosomal RNA (208 nucleotides) under uncultured bacterium. RNAcentral's name for it is "partial 16S ribosomal RNA". It matches the Rfam family "Bacterial small subunit ribosomal RNA", at positions 9 to 205 of the family's 1533-position model. The record is from RNAcentral.